This 1385-nucleotide long non-coding RNA is filed under the name Salmo salar (Atlantic salmon). RNAcentral's name for it is "lncRNA (ENSSSAG00000100795.1)". Lineage: Eukaryota; Metazoa; Chordata; Actinopteri; Salmoniformes; Salmonidae. The record is from RNAcentral.
GGACAUGUCAUAUUUCUUUCUAAGUAGAAGGACAUGUCAUAUUUCUUUCUAAUAUAAAGGACAUGUCAUAUUUCUUUCCAAGUAUAAAGGACAUGUCAUAUUUCUUUCUAAGUAGAAGGGCUUUCCAGGACCAUAGUAAGUCACUACAGCUUUUCACUUGUCAUUCUGAAGAGAAAAUGAAUGGAUGACAAUCAUAUUAUGUAUUCAGUAUUUAUGUAUCAUUACAUAUUUGUAUAUAUUGUAUAUUGAAGCAAUAAGGCCUGAGGGGGUAUGCUAUAUGGCCAAUAUACCACGGCUAAGGGCUGUUCUUACACACAACUCAACGCGGAGUGCCUGGAUACAGCCCUUAGCUGUGGUAUAUUGGCCAUAUUCAACAAACCCCCGAGGUGACUUAUUGCUAUUAUAAACUGGUUACCAACUUAAAAAAUAUAUAUGUUUUGUCAUACCCGUGGUAUACGGUCUGAAAUACCACGGCUGUCAGACAAUCAGCAUUCAGGGCUCGAACCACCCAGUUUAUAAUUAAUUCUCAGUUCUUCCUCAGUAAUAUCAAGGUGCACAAAAUCAACAAAUGUUGACAGACAACAUCUAGGAAAUGUACUGUAGACCUACUUAUAUGAUCAUGUCUUCAAAGCCUCAUAAGCAUGUAUUUAUAUAUAAAUAGUGUAUUUUCUUUCUUUUAAGUAUGAAACACUGAAUGUGUCCACUACUUUUGACGGGAGCCCCAUGUGCCCCUGGUCAAACGAUGUGCAUUACAGUGGACAGGAGGCCGUUUCAGAUGCAACCACUGUUAUUAUUUCCAUUGAUUGACCUCUAACCUAACAUUUUUGCAGUUUUGAGAGACAGUAUAAGGCUUGAGAACUACACAACACACACACACACAUACACCACCCAAGCACAGUUUCACUGCUGAAACACAGCAAUCUGAAUCAAUCUCACUUGCAUUCCAUUUUUAUUGCAGGUAAUUUAUAUAUAUUUUUUAAACAAGCACAAUUUUUUACUAUUAUAAUUUUCAAUCGUUUUUCCCCCGACAUACCUAAAUUCUGUAUGCAAUACAAAGUCUUCGAGCUUCGACAAGACAGUAGCUGAACCUAUCAAGACUCCUCUUCUGUUUAAGACGGGGUAAAAAUUGCACUAUUUUUAUUUUUAUGUCUGAUUUAUAUUUAUACUGCAAUACAUGCACUAAAUGUAACUCUGCUGUACCCACCACCACCUCCAAUACUGAAUAUGAUGUCUGGUGUAAUAACAACAAUGUUCAGAAAAGUCAACAUAUGAAAUGUCCUACUAACCUGCUGUACCCGAUAAUGUACAGAACACAUCUGUUUUCAAUAGCACAUUAUGAAAAAUAAGAACAGAAAUGAAUAAACAGAUGUACUGAUGUUUACAAA